Molecule: RNA transcript, 2949 nt
Organism: Globicephala melas (long-finned pilot whale)
Lineage: Eukaryota; Metazoa; Chordata; Mammalia; Artiodactyla; Delphinidae
Gene: RBMX2
Gene name: RNA binding motif protein X-linked 2
Source: RefSeq, a predicted model, not a curated record
CGCUGGGGCUGCGCAUGUGUCUUACGGCUUCUCCCGGAAGUCUCUUCCUAGGUUCUGAGCGUGAAGGCUGUUCCUAGCUUCUGAGCGUGAACCUGCAGAGAUGAACCCUUUAACUAAGGUUAAGCUGAUCAACGAGCUGAAUGAGCGUGAGGUCCAGCUGGGGGUAGCGGAGAAGGUGUCUUGGCACUCCGAGUACAAGGACAGCGCCUGGAUCUUCUUGGGAGGGCUUCCUUAUGAGCUGACUGAAGGGGACAUCAUCUGUGUGUUCUCACAAUAUGGCGAAAUUGUUAACAUUAAUUUGGUACGGGACAAGAAGACUGGGAAAUCCAAAGGAUUCUGUUUCCUCUGCUAUGAAGACCAGAGGAGCACAAUUCUGGCUGUUGACAAUUUUAAUGGGAUCAAGAUCAAAGGAAGAACUAUCCGAGUGGAUCAUGUGUCUAACUAUCGGGCUCCUAAGGACUCAGAAGAAAUGGAUGAUGUGACCAGAGAGCUGCAGGAGAGGGGCUGCGGGGCUCACACUCCCUCACUGAAUUCAUCUGAGGGCUCUGAAGAUGGCAAACCCACCAAAAAACACAAAAAAGACAGAAAGGAAAAAAAGAAAAGAAAGAAAGAAAAAGAGAAGACUGACCAGGAGGUACAGGCAGAGCAGCCAGCCUCCUCUUCAUCGCCCAGAAGCAAGAUGAUAAAGGAAAAGGAUGACCCUGGCUCUAAAAAGCACAGUGGCAAGAACUCAGAGAGGGGUCAGAAGUCAGAGUCCAGGGAGGUGUGGAAGCCCCACCCCAGCUCCCCUGAGAUCAGGGCCACCUGCUGUGGUGGAACAGAGGACCGAGAGAGGGAGCUGAGGAAGGAGAAGCCCAAGCACGAACACAAGUCAUCAAGCAGGAGGGAAGAGAGAGAAGACAAGAACAGAGAUAGAGACAGAGGUCGAAGCUCAGAUGCACAUUGCAGCUGGCACAGUGGGCGCUCUGAGGGGCGUAGUCACAGAAGUAGAAGUAGGAGUCAAGAUAAAUCUCACAGGCAUAAAAGGGCCCGGCACUCCCGGGACCGGGAGUCCUCUAAUCCUAGUGACCACAGGCAUCACUGAAGCCACAGCCUGUUCAGCUGCAUGUUGGAUCUGAGGGAUGCUCGUCAUCACCACUAAAAGAAAAAGGAUCUAUUGCUCUCUGUUGAUAAGUUUGAUCCACUGUACCUGAAGGAAGAGUUUUAUCUCCAGAUAAGAAUGACUCAAGAUGGGGGCUUCCCUGGUGGCGCAGUGGUUGAGAGUCCGCCUGCCGAUGUGGGGGACACGGGUUCGUGUCCCGGUCCGGGAAGAUCCCACAUGCUGCGGAGCAGCUGGGCCCGUGAGCCAUGGCCACUGGGCCUGUGCGUCCGGAGCCUGUGCUCCGCAACGGGAGAGGCCACAGCAGUGAGAGGCCCGCGUACCGCAAGAAAAAAGAAUGACUCAAGAUGAUGGUUAAAUAUCUCCCUUAUAUAACUUGCUAUUUUUGUAACAGGUAUAUUACUUAUGCCUUUUUUAUCUUUUGAAAGAGACUGGUAUAGAUUUGAAUUAGAAAUGUCAUUAUAAAUGGCAUCAACCAUAGCCUGGAUAUCUUUUCUGAAAUCACAUUUUGUUUUUCACUUCCAUCUUUAAUAAUGCAUGUUGCAUGUUUAGAAAUUAUUGACAUGAUCUCAUCAAUCAUUCUCACAACUGUGUUGCUGAAGUGUGACUACGAAAGGCAUGGGUCUUCUGCACUGCAGUUCAAUGGACAUAUCUGAGAUAAAACCCGAGUGACUAUAUUUUCCAAAUGUGUAUAUGAUAAUAUGGUGGUAUAUAUUGUACAAGUCUGUCUUCGGAGUCUUGAUUUACUGAUCGCAUAAUGAACUCUCUUUAUCAAAACAUCAGCAUUGAGUUUUGAGUAUGAUUUAAAAGGCAGGAGGAAUGUGGAGGAAUUCGGAAAUCAAAAACUUCAGCCAGGAUAAUUUUAGUUACCCUCUCCGCCAGUGUCUUGGUGUCACCGAGAAGGUCUUUAUUAGGUUCCAGUUCACAUUCUUGUAAAACUUUGCUAUAUGCCGUGUCAAUAAUUUUUAUCACUAUGUCUCUAUCUACUAGGGGCAAGCACAAUUGUUCCUUAGCAUUUUCUAGGAUGCUAACUUGAACUUUUGAGAAUUCUUCCAUUAUCAAAUAUAUGAGUUUUCCAGCUGUUUCCAACAGUUCUUUUUCUGAAUCUCUUAGUGAUUUUGUUUGCACAAUACCUAAUACCCUGUGGAAUAUUUUGCUUAAAACCCCAGAGAUCACAUCUUCCAAAAAGGCUGAGGAGUAAACACUGGCAAAAAAACAUUGCCUUCUUCUCAUACUAUCAAAGUAUGCAUAUGAUGAGGGAAAUGACAACUUUCCAUACACAAAUGGAUGAAGAUGUUGUUGACAGAUAUUUUUAAUGAUAAAACCUGCUAUUCUAUCAAUAAGAACAUUGUCACUGCUUGUGUUAUCGUGCUCAACUGCUUCUUGAGACCCAGAGUUUUGCAAGAUAUUUCUGAAUGUGGAAUCAACGAGACGCUGAGCAUCAUCCUUUGAAUAAACAGAUUCGGUUUCAUCUUCAUCUUUUGAAAAUCGAAUUUCACGUUGGGAAAUUUUCAUCCUAAUAUCACUGAUUAACUUUGAAGAGAUUUCGCUGUGAUUAAUUCCUGAUCUAUCUUGGAGUUUCACUGUAUAGAACCAUGUUAGAUGAAGAAGGAAAGAUUCUAGAUAAUAAUACUCUGAUUAUGUCUUCUAAAAAUGUGUAUGGCAGCAAGGUGUUAUAUGGAGAUAAAUGCUGGCUUGGCUGGGUAGGUUCAGUGAUGCCACUAAAGAUGUUCUGAAUAAUGUUUUCUGCUGUUAAAGUAGCAUAGGAAGAAGCCGACAAAUCCCCAGAAAACAGUGGAUGAAAAGAUAAUCAGAAAUAUCUGCUAUGAUUAAAUUGGUAAUGUUUUCCA